Long non-coding RNA from Schistocerca nitens (vagrant locust), 1974 nucleotides. RefSeq lists it as uncharacterized. Lineage: Eukaryota; Metazoa; Arthropoda; Insecta; Orthoptera; Acrididae. The record is from RefSeq and is a predicted model, not a curated record. The transcript has 2 exons.
UGCAGCGUGACUCGUGCUUGCUCUUGCCCAUUAGGUGACCUGGUGCUUGUGGUGGGGAUACACCUGGGGCCAGUCGCUGCGCCAUGUGGUGAAGUGUUUUGAAAACGUGUUACGGGGAAAAAUUACGUCUGGCCGAACAAUUGCAGUAACCAGAUUGGAGCAAUCACUCAAUGCAUGACAGGAAGAAGAAACUGGCGAUAGCAGGUGAAAAAGUCUGAGCAGUUUUGCCUGAUGCAACAGAUGAGGUCUGCAGAAGUCGUGUUAUGUUGUACAGAAAUGAAAACAGUAAGUGAGAAAGGUGGCGCAGGGACGAGUGGCGUUUAGCAACCUCUUGUGUUGUGGUUCCCCCAUAUGAGGUUUCUAAGGAACCGCGUUGUACCUAGAAGAACUGUGAGAGACAUCCCAAGCUGUAUUGUGUCUCUUGAACGAAUUCCAUCUUUUAUAAUAGACAGCAGCUUGUAAGAAUAAGCCGUCAGUUCUCACGAGUUCCGAAAUUAUUGGGGAUCUUUGGGCCUCAAUUGAUAUUUGGGCCACAAUUCCUUUAGCAACAGGGAAUAUACACUGAUAAGCCAAAACAUUACGACCACUGUCCACAGUGACGUUGGGUGCCACCUAGUGGCGUUGCGGGCAAGUGACGCGUAACAACAGUAUGUAAGGGGAGCAAACACUGAUGGGGGAACACCCUAACCAAGAUGUGGGCUACAAUUGUGGAAAUCCAUUGAGAUAAGCGACUUUGACAAAGGGCAGAUUAUUAUUAAGCAGAGCCUGUGGACGAGUCUCUCACUAACGGUGAAGCUGGUCGAAUAUUCACAUGCUACUGUCGUGAGCAUGUACAAAAAGAGGUAGGACAGUGAAACUACCACUAGACACUAAAUGGUUGGACGUCCGUGACUCUUUGGAGAACAUGGGGUUCGGAGGCUUGUCUACUCAAUGAAGUAGGAUGGAUGGUGAUAUCUGGCAUCUCUGCCAAAAUAGCACAAUGCUGGUCAUUGCACAAGUGUCUCGGAGCAAAUCCUUUAUUGUACAUUGUUGAACAUGGAGCUCUGCAGCAGACCACCGCUAAGUCUUCACAUGUUGACCCAACUACAUCAUCAGUUGCGACUGCAGUGGGUACUGACCAUCUGGGCUCGACCGUCAAACAUUGGAAACGUGUCGCUCUUCGGGUGAAUCGCAUUUUUGCUACACUAGGUCGAUGGUCGGCUCCACAAACGCCGUCAUCAAGAUGAACGGCGGCAGAAACGUGCAGCGCGCCAUGGACGUAGGCUGGUGGUAACAGUAUUAUGCUAUGGGACGUGUGGUAGUAAUCGAAGACACGCUGGCAGCUGUGACCACUUGCAUCCCUUCAUGCUUGGUGUCUUCCCCGACGGCAGUGUCAUCUUUCAUCUUUUAGCAGUAUAAUUGCCCAUGUCUCGGAGCCAUAUCCAUGGUACAGUGGUUUGAGGAGCAUUAUAAUGUACUCACGUUGAUGUGUCAGCGGCCAAAUGCACCCGAUGUAAAUCUUACGGAAUCCAUCUUGGUUGCUAUCGGGUGCCAGCGGCUCGUUAUUUACGCAUAUUACUUGACCUGUGCGUAGACAUUUAAUGCAACACACCUCCACAAACCUAUCAACAAACUGUCGGAUCCCUGAUAUGCAGAAUCAGUGAUGCACAUCGUUCCAAAUAUGACAAAGAAGAUGUUAAAUAGUUGGUUAUAAUGUUUGUUUCAUCAGCAUAAUAUGGUCCUGGCUUCGUUCCUUCUUCCCAGCCAGAAUCGAACCCAACAACGUCUGGCAUGUCGUCGUCGUUCUGACCAAAUCCUAACAGUAACAGACAGUACCAAGUUCAUAGCUCCAAAAACAGCUGCAUCCGCCAAGAGCAAAAUUUUGUAUAAAUGUAAAUUUACAUAAACGCAUGCAUGUGUGACCAAAUGUCAUAAUAUAAAACGAACAGUUGAGUCCCUAACUCUGAACAGUAAUAAAAUUAAUUCUGUGAUACC